RNAcentral lists this long non-coding RNA (280 nucleotides) under Lepidothrix coronata (blue-crowned manakin). RNAcentral's name for it is "lncRNA (ENSLCOG00000001024.1)". The record is from RNAcentral. Lineage: Eukaryota; Metazoa; Chordata; Aves; Passeriformes; Pipridae.
AGGACCAGCGAGGAAAUCCGUGGUACCUAAAUUUUGUGUUUGUGUUAAGACUGUGCCAAAGAAGGCUUUCACUCAGAUGACAUCACAUUUGGACUACUAAUGCUACCCACCCACUCUACAAGGCACAAUGCAUUUCUGGGUAAUUUAAGGUCAAAAAAACCCCAAGAAACUGAUCAAUAUAUGCUGAUCAGACAUUAUGCCAAUCUUGCUGAAACAGGAGUAUUUUGUCUUGCUGGCAGAAAGCUUUUCUAUAUCCUUCAUGGCUUAUAAUGUACUGGAG